CGGCAGGCUUAACACAUGCAAGUAGAACGGUAACAGUCCUUCGGGAGCUGACGAGUUGCGAACGGGUGCGUAACGCGUAUGCAACCUACCUAUAACUGAGGGAUAGCCCAUAGAAAUGUGGAUUAAUACCUCAUAACAACUAAAGAUGGCAUCAUCUUAAGUUUAAAACUCCGGUGGUUAUAGAUGGGCAUGCGUGACAUUAGCUAGUUGGUGAGGUAACUGCUCACCAAGGCAACGAUGUCUAGGGGUUCUGAGAGGAUGAUCCCCCACACUGGUACUGAGACACGGACCAGACUCCUACGGGAGGCAGCAGUGAGGAAUAUUGCGCAAUGGAGGAAACUCUGACGCAGCCAUGCCGCGUGCAGGAUGACUGCCCUAUGGGUUGUAAACUGCUUUUAUAUAGGAAGAACUACAGAUACGUGUAUUUGUUUGACGGUACUAUACGAAUA
Molecule: ribosomal RNA, 449 nt
Filed under: uncultured bacterium
Lineage: Bacteria
Description: bacterial SSU rRNA
Rfam family: Bacterial small subunit ribosomal RNA
Source: RNAcentral